Molecule: long non-coding RNA, 1471 nt
Filed under: Polistes fuscatus (common paper wasp)
Lineage: Eukaryota; Metazoa; Arthropoda; Insecta; Hymenoptera; Vespidae
Source: RNAcentral
UAAUUUUUUUAGUAGUUACUUACCGUUAAUUUUUUAUGGACAAUUGAUCUUUAAAGAAAUAUUAAGUACAGUUUCAGAUUACACAAUAAAUAUAGUUGCGGGUAUUACGUUGCUACUAUCCUCUAUCGUAACUGGUUGUUUUGUCGAUAGACUAGGUCGUAAACUAAUAAUUCUCGUAUCAGGUAUCAUCGUUGGCAUUUGUGAUUUAACGAUUAGCUCUUAUUUUUAUGCCAAGGAUUUUUUUAACAUUGACGUAUCAUCGUAUUUUCUUAUACCAAUAAUAGCAUCUAUUUCAUCAAUCUUCUUCUGUAAUUUAGGUUUCUGUAGUAUUUUGUCGAUCAUGAUGUCUGAGGUCUUCGCUGCGGAAGUCAAAGUACUUAGUACAUGUAUUCUCGGUAUCAUUGGUGGUAUACUUGCAAUGAUUAAUGACCAGCUUUAUAUUCUUUUAGCAAUAUCCUUGAAUUAUGGUCAUGGUCUUCCUUUUUUUGGAUUCUGUCUUCUCGUUUGGCUAAGUACGGCUUUGUUGUAUCAUUUUUCACUGGAAACCAAAGGCAAGACUUUCAUAGAGAUUCAGAGAGAACUUCAAGAUUGAAAGUUAACUCAUUUUCUUGAUUAUUCUUUUCUAUUGAUUGUUUAACUCUUGAUUGUAUUAUUAAUAUGAGAAUAAAUUUCUGAAGCACUUAUACAGGAUCGUGUUGUUCGAAAUGACGGCAGCGGUUCCUAAACUUUCUUUGUUCUGGCGUCAUUAUUAAAUCCAAGUUUUCUUAAGGUGAUCUAUGUCCAUAUCAGACAGUUGUUUUCUUAAAACUGUUAAAUAAAAAUAUAUAAAUAGUUUUAACGAAAAAAAUAAUUAAUUUUAAGUUAAUUUGAAAUGAGAUUCGGUGACUUAUAUUGCACAAUAAGUUCGCAUGUAAAUAGUUUGUAGUAAAAGGUGAAUCAAUUUUGGGAGAAAAUUGGUGAAAACACGAUCGAUAAGAUUAUAUUAAUUCAUCCGCAAUCUGUGUGUAAUACAUUACAAUCCGACGAGUUAUUCGGGAGCGACGAAAUUAAAGCACGAAAAACUAACGGCCGUUGUUUUUGUAAAUAAUCUGACGGAACUGCUUGUGUUUGAGAGAUUACUUUCAGAUCGUCAACAGCCAUAUCGCGCUGAGAGUACUAGUUUUAGUCCGAUCACUAAAGUCAAACAUCUCUUGGCACGGUUAGUAGUUCGAUGGAUGACCGCUUGGGAACACCGUGUGUUGUUGCCAUAAAUAAACAAAAAAAAAAUAUUCGACGGCCAUGGCGCGGUGACAGCACUAGCUUCCGCUCGAUCAUCUGGUCCCAAGCCCAGACAAAGGAGGAGAUUUCAGAGGCGAGGCUAGAAACCUACCCUCGGUAAAGAACAAUAAAAAUGCUCCUGGAAUUAGCAAUAUAGCCUCGGAUUGGACGGAAAUAAUGAUGAUGACAGCACAAGCAAAUAGGAAUGUGCAAA